UGCAGUCAAGGGGUAGCAAUACCACUGGCGCACGGGUGAGUAACACGUAGGUUAUCUGCCCCCAUCACAGACAUAACCUCGGGAAACCGAGGCUAAUAUCUGAUGAGGUCGUGAGAUCAAAGCUUCGGCGGAUGGGGAUGAGCCUGCGGCUGAUUAGCUAGUUGGUGAGGUAAUGGCUCACCAGGGCGACGAUCAGUAGCUGGUCUGAGAGGACGAACAGCCACACUGGAACUGAGACACGGUCCAGACUCCUACGGGAGGCAGCAGUGAGGAAUAUUGGUCAAUGGGAGCAAUCCUGAACCAGCAAUGCCGCGUGUGGGAUGAAGGCGCUUCGCGUCGUAAACCACUGUCGGACGGGACGAAAGGAGCUAUGAAGCUCUAGGACGGUACCGUCAAAGGAAGGAUCGGCUAACUACGUGCCAGCAGCCGCGGUAAUACGUAGGAUCCAAGCGUUGUCCGGAUUUACUGGGUAUAAAGGGUGCGUAGGCGGCCUUGUGCGUCAGAGGUGAAAUCUCCGGGCUUAACCCGGAGGGUGCCUUUGAUACGGCAGGGCUUGAGUGCGAGAGAGGAUGAUGGAAUUCCUGGUGUAGCGGUGAAAUGCGUAGAUAUCAGGAGGAACACCGGUGGCGAAGGCGGUCAUCUGGCUCGAAACUGACGCUGAGGCACGAAAGCGUGGGGAUCAAACAGGAUUAGAUACCCUGGUAGUCCACGCCCU
RNAcentral lists this ribosomal RNA (715 nucleotides) under bacterium enrichment culture clone D101. RNAcentral describes it as "bacterial SSU rRNA". It matches the Rfam family "Bacterial small subunit ribosomal RNA", at positions 56 to 803 of the family's 1533-position model. The record is from RNAcentral.